RNAcentral lists this ribosomal RNA (678 nucleotides) under Bacillus sp. A37T15-1. RNAcentral's name for it is "bacterial SSU rRNA". It matches the Rfam family "Bacterial small subunit ribosomal RNA", at positions 56 to 717 of the family's 1533-position model. The record is from RNAcentral. Lineage: Bacteria; Bacillati; Bacillota; Bacilli; Caryophanales; Bacillaceae.
UGCAAGUCGAGCGGACAGAAGGGAGCUUGCUCCCGGAUGUUAGCGGCGGACGGGUGAGUAACACGUGGGUAACCUGCCUGUAAGACUGGGAUAACUCCGGGAAACCGGAGCUAAUACCGGAUAGUUCCUUGAACCGCAUGGUUCAAGGAUGAAAGACGGUUUCGGCUGUCACUUACAGAUGGACCCGCGGCGCAUUAGCUAGUUGGUGGGGUAAUGGCUCACCAAGGCGACGAUGCGUAGCCGACCUGAGAGGGUGAUCGGCCACACUGGGACUGAGACACGGCCCAGACUCCUACGGGAGGCAGCAGUAGGGAAUCUUCCGCAAUGGACGAAAGUCUGACGGAGCAACGCCGCGUGAGUGAUGAAGGUUUUCGGAUCGUAAAGCUCUGUUGUUAGGGAAGAACAAGUGCGAGAGUAACUGCUCGCACCUUGACGGUACCUAACCAGAAAGCCACGGCUAACUACGUGCCAGCAGCCGCGGUAAUACGUAGGUGGCAAGCGUUGUCCGGAAUUAUUGGGCGUAAAGGGCUCGCAGGCGGUUUCUUAAGUCUGAUGUGAAAGCCCCCGGCUCAACCGGGGAGGGUCAUUGGAAACUGGGAAACUUGAGUGCAGAAGAGGAGAGUGGAAUUCCACGUGUAGCGGUGAAAUGCGUAGAGAUGUGGAGGAACACCAGUGGCG